GACCUCAGAUGCUGAGGGCAAAUUAGAAGAUGCUUGUGAAGGAUUUUUACAGAAACAGUUACCUGAAGAUGCAGGAUCAGGUAUUCAGGUUUCAGAUCAGCGACAGAUAUUCAGGAUUUGUCAAGUAUCCCCUGUGAGCAAGAGAACUACUACAGGGAUAUAGAUUGUGAAACACCCAGAGUGAGUCAUGCACCAACUAGCGUCAGCACUCCACUCAACUCAGAAGAAAAAAUUCCAGUAGCCUUUGAGAAAUACAAACACUGCCAUGAAGUAGCUUCAGAUUCUUCCUUUUGUGGUUCUCAAGAGACCUCCUCUGCAGUGUCCAGGACA
This 330-nucleotide long non-coding RNA is filed under the name Buteo japonicus. Its description in RNAcentral is "lncRNA (ENSBJAG00000010119.1)". The record is from RNAcentral. Lineage: Eukaryota; Metazoa; Chordata; Aves; Accipitriformes; Accipitridae.